RNAcentral lists this non-coding RNA (26 nucleotides) under Mus musculus (house mouse). The record is from RNAcentral. Lineage: Eukaryota; Metazoa; Chordata; Mammalia; Rodentia; Muridae.
UCUAGUUUCUGGGGAUCUAUAUGCUU